AUGGGGUCUUGCUGUGUUGCCCAGGCUGGUCUCAAACUCCUGGGAUCAAGCAAUCUGCCCAUCUCAGCCUCCCAAAGUGCUGGGAUUAUAAGCAUAAGCCACUGCACCCAACCCUGGUUUUUAUUUGACCACUCUCAACUCUCCUGUGACCAUCCUUCCUUCUUGAAAUGUUGCCUUCCUUUGGCAACUGUGAUACCACCCAAAGUUCUCAUUGUUUCUUUCUCGUCCUCUCACGUGCCUCUUCUUUAAUAUUAAGUCCAUUCCAGAGUCUGUCCUGGUUUGUCUUCCCAUCUCUCUGAGUGAUCCCAAUCACUUUCAUUCAACAUUUAUUGAGUGCCCAUGCUGUGCUAGGCAUUGUUCUAGGCACUGACCACUUGCAACUUCUAAGUACAUGCUGGUAAAUGACAAAUGUGUCUAUCUCAGGCUCACAUAUCCAACUGCUUCCCUGAAAUGUGAACUUGGAUAUCAAAUGAUCUUCCCCAAACUUAAACUUGUCUAGAACUGAGUUCAUCAUCCUUCUCUCUAGAUUGGUUUCUCCUCCUGGGUUCCCCAUUUUAGCAAAGGAUAUUCAUUCAGUUGCCCAAGACUGAUAGCUGGAGUCAUCCUAGACCCUUUCCUCUCUCGCACCUGAGAAAGUAGUAAGUCUUUUUUUUCUGCUUCCUAGAUAUGUCUGAGUUUCAAUCACUUGUCUCCAUCACUGUUACCACCACACUGGUCUCCAUCUCGGUCUAAGCCAUUAUUAUGGCUCUUAUAGAAUACAGCAGCAGGCUCCUUCCUGGUCUCAGCCUUUGGGCCUUCUCCCUGUGAAUUCAUCCAGAGCAUACUUCCUGUGACACAAGACUGAUGAUGUUAAGCUCCUGCUGAAACCCUAUAAUGUUUUUUUUGGCCUUCAGAAUUUCAGUUCUAAUUUUUCAAUAUGCUUUAUAAGGCCAACCAUAAUCAGGUACCUCCUCUACCUCUCCGCUUUUAUUUAUUUCCAAUUCCCCUUUCCCCUCAUAUUCUGUCACUCAUUCAUUCUUCCCUCCAUCCAUAUUAAACUCCUCUUAGCUCCUGAACAUCCCAAUCUUUCUCUAGACUCUGAAUUUUGCCUGUGCUGUUCCCUCUGCAUGGAACAGCUCAUUGGCUGCUCUCCCACCCCUUUCCUCUGCCAAUGCCACCUUUUCUUCAGGCUUCAGCAGAGAUCUUACUUUAUCUAGGAAGCCUUCCCUAAACUCCCACAUCUGGGACAAGGGUCUUUUUCUGAGCUGCCAUAGUAAGCUGGUACCAUUUAUCACACUAGGGUGCUUCCCUGUUCAUUGGUCUACAUCUGCCUUUAAAUAUAAGCAUCUAAGAGGGCAGGAACCUUGCCUCUCUUGUGUGUUUGUUUUUGAGACAGACUCUCACUCUGUCAUCCAGGCUGGAGUGCAAUGGCACAAUCUCAGCUGACUGCAACCUCCACCUCCUGGGCUCAAGUGAUUCUCCUGCCUCAGCCUCCUGAAUAGCUGGGACUACAGGCAUGCACCACCACACCUGGCUAAUUUUUUAGAGAUGGGGUCUUGCCCAGGCUGGUCUCGAACUCCUGAGUUUGAGUGAUCGGCCCACCUCAGCCUCCCAAAGUACUGGGAUUACAGGCGUGAGCCACCUCACCAAGCUCUUGUUUAAUAUUUAAUUCUUGGGACCUAGCACAGUGACCAGCACAUAGUAGGUGCUCAGUAAGUACAUGUAGAAUAAAUGAACAGUUGAUAAGUGCAGGAUAUGAAUCCAAAAAUUCUGGUCCUGACUCACCACUGGACCCUUGGAAAGUGUUUUUUAGUAUUGCUGUACCUUAGUGUCCUCACUUGUAAUAUGAAUAUACAAUAUAGAGCAUGGCAAUGGCAAUUUUAAAACAUAAUCCCCAAAUUCUUUGGCACUUCUUUUAAUGAGAGGUAGAGCCUAUGUCCCUUCCUUUAGAAUUUGGGCUCUGUAAUUUUUUGAUCAAAACAAAAGUGAUGUCAUGGCCAUUUCUGGACUCAAGUCUUAAGAAAUUAGCAAUUUCCAUUUUGUUUUUCUUGUAAUGCUUCCUUGCAGAAUGCAGGCACUAUGCCAUGGAGAUGCAGCUCCAGAGAGGCCCACGCAGAGGAUUCCAGCCUCCAGCCCUCAGCUUCCGCCAAGCUGCCAGCCAGCAACAGGCACAACUUGGCAGCCAUUUUGGCCUCCAUCUUGCUCUAUCCAAGCAAGACGUCUUGGAAGUGGAUCUUCCAGCCCCAUUUGAACAUCCACCCCUAUGUAAUAUUCCAGAGAUAAAGAAAUGUUGUUUUAAGAUCUACGUUUUGGGAUGGU
Papio anubis (olive baboon) is the source of this 2298-nucleotide long non-coding RNA. NCBI's taxonomy places the organism in Eukaryota, Metazoa, Chordata, Mammalia, Primates, Cercopithecidae. The record is from Ensembl.